RNAcentral lists this ribosomal RNA (408 nucleotides) under uncultured bacterium. Its description in RNAcentral is "partial 16S ribosomal RNA". It matches the Rfam family "Bacterial small subunit ribosomal RNA", at positions 28 to 526 of the family's 1533-position model. The record is from RNAcentral.
GAUGAACGCUAGCGGCAGGCCUAAUACAUGCAAGUCGAACGAAGUGGCGCACGGGUGCGUAACGCGUGAGCACCCUCCCUCUGUCAGGGGGUAACUCCGGCGAAAGUCGGAUUAACCCCCCAUGGACAGAGAUCGGUUCGCGUGACAUUAGCUAGUUGGAGAGGUAACGGCUCACCAAGGAUACGAUGUCUAGGGGCUCUGAGAGGCGAAUCCCCCACACUUGUACUGAGACACGGACCACACUCCUACGGGGGGGAGCGGUAUGGAAGACUAGUGAAUGGAGGGAACUCUAGACCAGCCACGUGGGGGGCAGGAUGACUGCCUAUGGGUGGUAAACUGCUUUUGACGAGUAAUAGGUACCCGAAGAAUAAGGAUCGGCUAACUCCGUGCCAGCCGCCGCGGUAAUAC